This 5102-nucleotide small RNA is filed under the name Caenorhabditis elegans. RNAcentral's name for it is "Unclassified non-coding RNA Y104H12BR.2". The record is from RNAcentral. Lineage: Eukaryota; Metazoa; Nematoda; Chromadorea; Rhabditida; Rhabditidae.
GACUGCUCCGCGACGGUGAAACUCUUGAAGAUCUCCGGCGUCUGUCCCCAGAAGAAAUUCUCAUGAGAUGGGUUAAUUAUCAUUUGGAACGUGCUGGAACUCAACGUCGCCUACACAAUUUCACAUCAGAUAUUGUCGAUUCAGAGAUUUAUACUCAUUUGCUCCAUCAAAUUGCUCCAAAUGGCUCCGGUGUCACGUUAUCUCCACUCGGAGUCCAUGGAAAUGUCCCAAGAGCCGGAGCAAUGUUAGAUGAAGCCGAGAAGCUUGAUUGUCGGGAAUUUGUGACAGCAACUGAUGUGGCAGCCGGAAAUUACAAAUUAAACUUGGCUUUUGUUGCCAAUUUGUUCAAUAAACAUCCAAAUUUGCCGGAUCCGGGAGCGGAUGAAGUUGGUGAGUUUUUGAAAAAGUCGAAAAUUGACUGAAAAAUAAAAAAUUUCAAAAUUUCAAAAUGACAACUUCCAGCGAUUUUAAUUAAAAAAGGUCCGAUAAAAAAAUAAAAAAUAAGAUUUUUCAUCGAAAAUUCACCGACUCACCGAAGUCGACUAGAAUUCUGAAAAUGACGAUUUUUAGCCAAAAAUUUCAAAUUUUUUCAUUUUUUUGGUGAAAAAUUUGAAAUUUUUGGCUAAAAAUCGUCAUUUUCAGAAUUUUAGGCGACUUUCGGUGAAUUUUCGAUGAAAAAUCUUAUUUUUUAGACUGAUAAUCGCCAUUUUUUGAGAAAAAUCGGAAAUUUUGAACAAAAAUCAUUUUCUCAUUUUCAUUUUCAGAAUUUUAAGCGAAUUUCAGCGAAAAAAUCGGACCUUUUUUAAUUAAAAUCGCUGGAAGUUGUCAUUUUCAAAUUUUAAGCGAUUUUUGGCGAAAAAUUUGAAAUUUCUGGCCGAAAAUCGUCUUUUUCAGAAUUUUAGGGGCGACUUUUGGCGAAAAAUCUAAAAUAUUUAACUGAAAACCACUAAAACUUGAUCAAUUUUAACCUUUUUACUUAAAAUCUCUAAAAAUCGAUUAAUUUUCGAUUUUUUGAUGAAAAGUUCGACAUUUUUUACUGAAAAUCAAUUAAAUUUUAAAUUUUCAGCGAAAAAAUGGAGUUUCUUGUAGAAAAUCGUUAAAAAUUGAUCAAUUUUUCAAAUUUUUACACUAAAAAUCGUCAUUUUCAAAAUUACAGGCAAUUUUCGACAAAAAAAUAAAGCUAAAAAUUCGAUUUUUAAUAAAAAAUGAAUUUUUUUUGCUGGAAAUCGACUUUUUCAGAUUUUCAAACGAUUUUUGAAGAAAAAUUCGGAGUUUUUGACUUCAAAUCGCUAAAAAUUGGCCAAUUGUCGAUAUUUAAUGAAAAAUCUGAAUUUUUUUUGCUGGAAAUCGCUCAAAUUCUGAAUUUGCAGCGAAAAAAUUGCAUUUUUUGUUGAAAAUCGCUAAAAAUUGAAUAAUUUGCGUUUUUUUUUUUGGUGAAAAAUCUUAAUUUUUGACUGAAAAUUGUCUGGAUUCAACUGUAAAUUUGUGAAAAACUGGAAAAAUCGAAAAAAUUGAUUUUUACAUGAAAAUCUUGAAUUUUUCCGUAAGUUGUGUAUUGAAACACGAAAAAUUUCAAUUUUUCUCCAUAUUGCAGCUAAAAAUCUGAAAAUUUUCUAAAAAUCAAAUUUUAUGAAUUUUCAGCCAAUUUUCUGGCAAAAAUUGAAAUUUUUGAGUAAAAAAUUACUUCAAAAAGAUGAAAAAUUGACUUCUUUUUCGAAAAAUUCAAUAGAAAUUUGAAUUUUUAAAACACGAAAAAUACCAAAAUUCCCCACAUUUCCGAACAGUUUCUAAUCGUUUUUCGGAGGUUUUUCAGUGGAAGACGUCAUCGAAGAGACACGUGAAGAGAAAACAUAUAGAAAUUGGAUGAAUUCAAUGGGUGUUGAUCCAUAUGUUAAUUGGUUGUAUGCUGAUCUUCAAAAUGGUGUCGUCAUUUUCCAGGUAAAAAUUGGAUGAAAACCCCGAGUUUUCCGGCGAAAAAUGGACAAAAUUCCGGAAAAACCGAUUUUCCCGGCGGAAAUUUGACAAAAAUCGAAAAAAAUCUAAUUUUCCGGCGGAAGUUUAACAAAAUUCCGGAUAAAUCGAUAUUUCCGGCGGAAAAUCAAUAAAAAUCCGGAAAAAUUGCAUUUUCCGGCGAAAAAUGGACAAAAAUAUUCAGAAAAAUUGCAAAAGUUGAGUUUUUCGAGGUAUUUUAGCUCAAAACGGAUUUAUCUAAAUUUUUUACUGAAAUUUCGCGAAAUUUUGACUUUUUUGAAGAUUUUUCACAUUUUUUGUGAAAAAUCUGCAAAUUAUUCGAUUUUUGCUCUGAAAAUUUCAGUUUUUGAGUUUUCCAAGAAUUUCAGCCGAAAAACGGAUUUUUUCGGUUUUUCUGAAAUUUCUGUGGAAAAUCAAAAUUUUCAAGACCUUUGUGUAAUUUUUCAGCCCGCAUUUUUACCGAGAAAUCGGCGGAAGUUUAACAAAAUUCCGGAAAAAUCGAUAUUUCCGGCGGAAAAUCAAUGGAAAUCCGGAAAAAUUGCAUUUUCCGGCGAAAAAUGGACAAAAGUUCAGGAAAAAUCAAUUUUGCCCUGCGAAAAAUCAAUAAAUUCAGAAAAACCUCAUUUUAACGGCGAAAUUUCGGCAAAAUUCGGUGUGAAUUUGCCCUAAAAAAAGAUCUAAAACUUGCCAAUUUUUUCGGAAAAUCCGUAUUUUUGUACCAAAAAUUCAAAUUUCACAGUUACAGCAUGUGCGCUUCAUUGAGAAAAUCACUCAAAAUUCAAAUUUUGAAGAUUUUCUCAAUGGGGCGCACUUUCAAUCGAUGCGAUGUUUAAAUUUUUUAAAUUUUCAGUCAAAAAAAAAUGCCAAUUUUGCGAGUUUUUGCAGAAAAUUCGCAGUUUUUCCGCAUUUUUCGCUAUAAUUUUCAAAAAAAGAAUUUCAGCUUUACGAUAUAAUCCGACCGGGAAUGGUAACAUGGAAACGAGUUGUACGGACAUUCCAUAAGCUUCGAGGAAUGAUGGAUCAAAUUCAGAAUUGCAAUUAUGCUGUUGAACUUGGAAAACAGCUCAGAUUCUCACUUGUCGGAAUUCAGGGAAAAGGUUGAUACUUAAAAUUUUUUGGAAUUUUUACGGAAAAUUAUGACAAAAAUUUACGAAACCCAUGAAAAUUUGGCUGAUUUUUGGUCUGAAAAUGCUGAAAUCGGCAGAUUUUUGACUAAAGAAUUUGCUGAAAACGGAGAAUUCUUUUUUUUUUGUUGAAAAUCGCUAAAAAUUUAAUAAUUUCCGUUUUUUUUGGUGAAAAAUCUUAAUUUUUUGACUGAAAAUUGUCUGGAUUGAUCAACUGUAAAUUUGUGAAAAACUGGAAAAAUCGAAAAAAAAUUGAUUUUUAAAUGAAAAUCUUGAAUUUUUCCGUAAGUUCUGUAUUAAAACACGAAAAAUUUCAAUUUUUCUCCAUUUUGCAGCUAAAAAUCUGAAAAUUUUCUAAAAAUCAAAUUUUAUAGUAGAUACUUAAAAUUUUUUGGAAUUUUUACGGAAAAUUAUGACAAAAAUUCGAAACCCAUGAAAAUUUGGCUGAUUUUUGGUCUAAAAUGCUGAAAUCGGCAGAUUUUUGACUAAAGAAUUUGCUGAAAACGGAGAAUUAUAUUCGCUUUAUAAAUUUUUAUUUUCCGAAAUAAAAAUCAGCAAAUCGAAAUUUUCAUACAACCCGCCGACUCAAAAAAAAACACAAAAAUUUAUGGUUUUCAUUUAAAUUUUCCAACAAAAAAAAACCCAAAAAAAUCUAAUUUUCCACACAAAAGUUCCCUAAAAACCUUCCAAACUCUAAUGUUAUCACAAAAACCCAAAAACUUGGGUGAAAUUCAUUUUCAUUCAGAUUUUCCUUUUUUUAAAUUCCUAAAAACCUAAUUUUUCACGCAAAAAACUAGACAUUUUCCAAAAAAUAUUAAUUUUCCCCCCGAAAAUCUAAAAAGUUCCCAAAAAAUUCAAAUUUCCACCCUAAAAUCCAAAAAUUUCCAUCCUAAAACCAAAAUUUUUCCAAAAAAAAAAAUCGUAUUUUUCUCCAAAUUUACCCAAUUUUUCUUGGAAAACAGCUCAGAUUCUCACUUGUCGGAAUUCAGGGAAAAGGUAGAGAGAAAUUCUUCAGAAAUACCAAGAAUUUGGCUGAAAACUGGACAAAUUUUGAGAUUUUUGGCGUAACUAACUGUAAAAAGCGUGAAAUUUUGAAAGAGAAAUCUGGAAAAAAUCAUAAAAAUGAUUAGGAAAUUACUGAAAAUUAUAAUUUUUUCAAAUUGAGAUAGAUAUUUUUUGCUGAAAUAACGAAAAAUAUGUGCUUUUAUUGAAAAAAAAUACCAAAAAAAACAUGAAGAUAUGGAAUUUUCCAAAAAAAAAAAAAUCCACUUUUUCAGAGAAAAAAUUGAAUAUUUUUACAAAUUUCACCCAAAAAACCGAUAAAAUGCCAUAAAAAAGAGCACAAUUUUCAAUUUUAGGAAAUUUCAUAUUUUUGAAAUAAAAAAUCGCUUAAAAAUCCUUUUUUUCUGAAAAUGCUCAAAAUUCGCAAAAGAGCUCAGCUUGCUCCAAAUUAUGCUCGAAAAAACAGAAAAAUCUCAGAAAUUUGCUACGAAAAGCUCUGAAAACUUCAAAAUUGCCAAAAUUGCCGAAAAUGGGCCAAAAUUUUGAUGAGAACGAACUUUUUUGACAAAAAAAAAUUUGUCCAAAAAAUCGCAUUUUUCUCCAAAUUUACCAACAUUUUUCGUUACAGAUAUCUACGACGGCAAUCAAACAUUGACAUUAGCUCUCGUUUGGCAGCUAAUGCGUGCCUAUACCCUCUCAGUUCUUGCUCAAUGUACUCAAUCUGGUGAUUCCCUGCCAGCUGAUAAGGAUAUUGUUGCAUGGGUUAACGAAAAGCUCAAAAAUUCUGGAAAAUCCACAUCAAUUCGAUCGUUCCAAGACCCGGCAAUUUCCGAUGGAAAAGUUGUAUUGGAUCUGAUUGAUGCAAUUAAACCAAACGUUAUUGAUCAUAGUUUGGUGAAAAGUGGCAAAAGUAAUGAGGAUAAAAUGUCAAAUGCAAAAUAUGCAAUCACUUGUGGACGAAAGAUUGGAGCAAAGAUUUACGCGUUGCCAGAGGAUAUUGUUGAG